This is a long non-coding RNA of Manis pentadactyla (Chinese pangolin), 666 nucleotides long. RefSeq lists it as uncharacterized. Lineage: Eukaryota; Metazoa; Chordata; Mammalia; Pholidota; Manidae. The transcript has 3 exons. The record is from RefSeq and is a predicted model, not a curated record.
GAGAAAGCACAUUUCCACCUGGAAGUUUCAAAAGCCCCGUGCUGUUACUGAAUACCCUUUCCUACCAUGAGGAGCAAUACAGAACGAAAAUAAGAAUAAAUCCCUUGGUUGCUAGUCCUAGCAUUGAAUGACAGAAUGAGCAAACAUGGAAAGGCAAUCCUGGGGCCAUGGAGAAAGUACAUAUGUGAUGCCAGACUAUAUCUCUGUCCACAAACAUGAUUUCACUCCCCUGCAAAUCCACCUGCAAGCACAGUCACCUCAUUUCCAAGCAAUGAUUAGCUUUUGUUACCCAGAGCAGAUGUGGAACGUUUGCUGGGAUUAGGAAAUAUUUUGCAUGUGAGAAUGUGAAUGCUACAAUCCUCGACUCAGCCAAGAAGACUUAAUAAAUGGUGAAUUUUUACAUCUUCAGGGAGGAGCAACAUAUUUUUUUAAAAGUGUUGGUUAAAAUAAACACCAAAUUCCCAAUGAGAGACUCCAAACUCUGAUGAUGUGCAGGACUGAUCAUUUUAUUACUGUGGAAAAGUUUACUCAGAUGAUGCAGCCCACUUCAUCCUAUUGUUAAUGUUCUCAUUCUCACAUUAUCAAUGGCAUAUGUGUACUCAUCCUUUACUGUCUUUUAUUGCUUUAUUGGAUGCACCAGAAAUUGUUGACAAAAUGUGUCCUUGU